GCCUCUUGGGGUUGUAGGACAUUCUAUACGGAGUUACAAAGGAACGAGGUAGACGAAGCGACCUGGAAAGGUCCGUCACAGAGGGUAAUAACCCCGUAGUCGAAACUUCGUUCUCUCUUGAAUGUAUCCUGAGUACGGCGGAACACGUGAAAUUCCGUCGGAAUCUGGGAGGACCAUCUCCCAAGGCUAAAUACUCCCUAGUGAUCGAUAGUGAACCAGUACCGUGAGGGAAAGGUGAAAAGCACCCCGGAAGGGGAGUGAAAGAGAUCCUGAAACCGUGUGCCUACAAAUAGUCAGAGCCCGUUAAUGGGUGAUGGCGUGCCUUUUGUAGAAUGAACCGGCGAGUUACGAUCCCGUGCGAGGUUAAGCUGAAGAGGCGGAGCCGCAGCGAAAGCGAGUCUGAAUAGGGCGUUUAGUACGUGGUCGUAGACCCGAAACCAGGUGAUCUACCCAUGUCCAGGGUGAAGUUCAGGUAACACUGAAUGGAGGCCCGAACCCACGCACGUUGAAAAGUGCGGGGAUGAGGUGUGGGUAGCGGAGAAAUUCCAAUCGAACCUGGAGAUAGCUGGUUCUCCCCGAAAUAGCUUUAGGGCUAGCCUUAAGUGUAAGAGUCUUGGAGGUAGAGCACUGAUUGAACUAGGGGUCCUCAUCGGAUUACCGAAUUCAGUCAAACUCCGAAUGCCAAUGACUUAUCCUUAGGAGUCAGACUGCGAGUGAUAAGAUCCGUAGUCAAGAGGGAAACAGCCCAGAUCGCCAGCUAAGGUCCCAAAGUGUGUAUUAAGUGGAAAAGGAUGUGGAGUUGCUUAGACAACUAGGAUGUUGGCUCAGAAGCAGCCACCAUUUAAAGAGUGCGUAAUAGCUCACUAGUCGAGUGACUCUGCGCCGAAAAUGUACCGGGGCUAAAUACACCACCGAAGCUGCGAAUUGAUACCAAUGGUAUCAGUGGUAGGGGAGCGUUCUAAGUGCAGUGAAGUCAGACCGGAAGGACUGGUGGAGCGCUUAGAAGUGAGAAUGCCGGUAUGAGUAGCGAAAGACGGGUGAGAAUCCCGUCCACCGAAUGCCUAAGGUUUCCUGAGGAAGGCUCGUCCGCUCAGGGUUAGUCAGGACCUAAGCCGAGGCCGACAGGCGUAGGCGAUGGACAACAGGUUGAUAUUCCUGUACCACCUCUUUAUCGUUUGAGCAAUGGAGGGACGCAGAAGGAUAGAAGAAGCGUGCGAUUGGUUGUGCACGUCCAAGCAGUUAGGCUGAUAAGUAGGCAAAUCCGCUUAUCGUGAAGGCUGAGCUGUGAUGGGGAAGCUCCUUAUGGAGCGAAGUCUUUGAUUCCCCGCUGCCAAGAAAAGCUUCUAGCGAGAUAAAAGGUGCCUGUACCGCAAACCGACACAGGUAGGCGAGGAGAGAAUCCUAAGGUGUGCGAGAGAACUCUGGUUAAGGAACUCGGCAAAAUGACCCCGUAACUUCGGGAGAAGGGGUGCUUUCUUAACGGAAAGCCGCAGUGAAUAGGCCCAAGCGACUGUUUAGCAAAAACACAGGUCUCUGCGAAGCCGUAAGGCGAAGUAUAGGGGCUGACACCUGCCCGGUGCUGGAAGGUUAAGGAGAGGGGUUAGCGUAAGCGAAGCUCUGAACUGAAGCCCCAGUAAACGGCGGCCGUAACUAUAACGGUCCUAAGGUAGCGAAAUUCCUUGUCGGGUAAGUUCCGACCCGCACGAAAGGUGUAACGAUUUGGGCACUGUCUCAACCAGAGACUCGGUGAAAUUAUAGUACCUGUGAAGAUGCAGGUUACCCGCGACAGGACGGAAAGACCCCGUGGAGCUUUACUGUAGCCUGAUAUUGAAUUUUGGUACAGUUUGUACAGGAUAGGCGGGAGCCAUUGAAACCGGAGCGCUAGCUUCGGUGGAGGCGCUGGUGGGAUACCGCCCUGACUGUAUUGAAAUUCUAACCUACGGGUCU
Molecule: ribosomal RNA, 1947 nt
Filed under: Bacillus sp. MYb56
Lineage: Bacteria; Bacillati; Bacillota; Bacilli; Caryophanales; Bacillaceae
Description: bacterial LSU rRNA
Rfam family: Bacterial large subunit ribosomal RNA
Source: RNAcentral